RNAcentral lists this ribosomal RNA (249 nucleotides) under uncultured bacterium. RNAcentral's name for it is "partial 16S ribosomal RNA". It matches the Rfam family "Bacterial small subunit ribosomal RNA", at positions 1253 to 1500 of the family's 1533-position model. The record is from RNAcentral.
GGCGGCGACGCCGAGCGGAACCCGAAAAACCGGUCUCAGUUCGGAUCGGAGUCUGCAACCCGACUCCGUGAAGCUGGAUUCGCUAGUAAUCGCGCAUCAGCCAUGGCGCGGUGAAUACGUUCCCGGGCCUUGUACACACCGCCCGUCACACCAUGAGAGUCGGGAACACCCGAAGUCCGUAGCCUAACCGCAAGGAGGGCGCGGCCGAAGGUGGGUUCGAUAAUUGGGGUGAAGUCGUAACAAGGUAGC